Molecule: long non-coding RNA, 1594 nt
Organism: Homo sapiens (human)
Lineage: Eukaryota; Metazoa; Chordata; Mammalia; Primates; Hominidae
Product: long intergenic non-protein coding RNA 1229
Source: Ensembl
GGACCAUCAUGUAGUGUGAGGAGUCAACAUUUCACACUAGAAAGCCCUUGGUUCAAGUUUUGUCUCUGCCACCUACAGAUUUUGUAACCCUGAGUAAAAGUUGUCCAGCCUUUCUAUUUUACAACUGAGGCUUCAAAAGAUAAAAGAGAUCCAUGCUGAAGGGAGAGGAAAAGAAGAAGACCCCAAGGACCACAGGCCUGGGCCUGUGUUAUCCCAAUGCCAUCAUCUCAGGAUACGAUGGGAGCUGCUAGGUGUAGAGAUGGCUCUUCUUUGAAGAAACCCCCAUGAAAUGGUUUCAGGGGAGGUCACUGUGGUUAUAUCCCAGAAGAUUUGCCCUGCAAGUGAAACAGAAGCUUCUCAUGGAGAUGUGGAGGGGGCUGCCCCGCUGUGUCAGAAAGUGGAGACUCUAUGGAACCAACCCCAUUAUACUGAGAUAGGGUUGAGGCUGCUGAUGGGUCUUUACCUAUUGUAGCUUCCAUUUGUAUGGUAGGCAGCCGCUAAGAUGGCCCCAGAUAUCACUGCCUUGUGAUAGUCCUGUCUUUGUGUAAUCCACUCCCCAUGAGUGUGGGCUGGAUCUACUGGCUCUCUUCUGCUAAACAGAUGAUCGAAAAAGUGAUGAAAUGUCACUUCUAAAAUUAGGUUACACAGAGAAUGUGGUUUCUUUUUUGCUCACUCCCUCUUACUCAGGGAAACUAGCUACCUCUUUAUGUACUGCCCUAUGGAGAGGCACACAUGUCAAGAAACUGAGGGAGUGCCUUCCAGUCAACAGCCAGCCAGGAACUAAGGUGCUCAGUACAGCAGCCUCCACAAAGGACUGAACAAUGCCAACAGCUAUUUGACUGUGCUUGGAAGAUCUCCGUUUAGUUAACCCUUCAGAUGAGACCGCAGCCCUGGCCAGCAAACAAAUUGCAGCCUAUGGAAAGACCUUAAGGCAGAAGCACCCAACUGAACCACCCGAGGGCUCUGACUUACAGAAACUGUGAGCAUGAGAUCAUUUGUACAAAUCUUGAAACCAAAGCACAGCCUGUAUGAACCCAUGUUGAACCCUGGACUUUCAGGACUACUGUAUGGCUAACCACAGCCCUGCAAGGCCAGGCUCAGCAUGUCACAGUUUUGCCACUGAACAAGAAUCUUUCGAAGGAUCGCAAAUACUACAUGGAAAAUGACUGUAUUCUUUCUGCAAGGCCACUCUCUUAGACAUCACCCUAACAAAAACAAUUACGGGUUGGAAGAGGAGAAAGGAUGCAAAGUUUGUGCCUUGACCUAAAAAAGGUCAUGAGCACCUCUACCGGUUCUUGGAAACAUUAGUUGCAGUGGAUCUCAAAUUCUAUUGCGCAAAAGAACGACCUGGUGACCCUCUAAAAGUGUAGAUUCUCUGGUUUCACCCCUAGACCUUGUGACUCACAUGUCCAGUGAGGCCAGGAACUCCUCACUGUUAACCUGUGCCCUAUUUUAACAAGCCCUGCUGGGAGUCGGGAUGUUGGGGGUCCCCACACCACACUGAAAUAGAGGAAUUCCCUGCUCAAAGAUCCCGUUAUGUCCUGAUUACAAUCUGCAAUGAGAUUAUGAAAUCAUUAAAUCAUGAUUAAGCCAA